This 36546-nucleotide long non-coding RNA is filed under the name Carica papaya (papaya). Its description in RNAcentral is "long non-coding RNA (CPAP_LNC004980)". The record is from RNAcentral. Lineage: Eukaryota; Viridiplantae; Streptophyta; Magnoliopsida; Brassicales; Caricaceae.
GCUGUUUCCAACGGUCUUCUUCUCUCUAUAUAUAUUGCACCGACCACUCCAUUCUUCUCUCUCUACUCAGCUUUCAGACAGAUCACAUUCCUUCUUCCCUUUCCUCCCGAUUCUCUCUGUUCAUUGGAAACGUUUCGUUUCCUUCCGAUUUCUCUCAAAUUCAAUCGACUGCUUCGACUUUGCUUCUCCGCUCGCUUCUCUGGUAAGGAUCUCCACUGCCGCUUUCUUUUUUUUCCAUUAAAGAUUCAUAUUGCAAAUCUUCUUCUUUGAUUUUGUCAAACAACUCUUUAAUAUUUGUGGUUCUUUUAAUAUUUGUGAUUCUUUUACGAGAUAAAACAUAAAAUCAUGUUCUCUGAGUCAGAUCUGGAAUCCACCGUAACACUCAUUUAGGGAAAAGUCACCAAAAUCUAAGAUCCGUGUAAUCCUUUUUCGGUAACAAACGACCAAUAAAAAAUAUUAAAAAAGAAACCCAGAAAAUCCUCUGUGAAAAUAAAAAAAACGAAAAGAGAUCAAAACCCUAGAUCUUGAAAUAAGACUGAUUACUUCUCCCUGGUUUUUCUGUAAUUAGGUUGUGUGGAGUUUUGGAUUGGAGAAUCUUGAAAUGAAUCUGUAAAAUGCAAUCUUUGUAAUGUUAUUAAGGUUUGAGCUCACCAUUACAACGUAAUGACCUCAAACCCCAUGGGGGAGUCCUAAUCAUAAUGUAUCUUUGUUUUUUAACUGGGUACAAAUUGCAAUGGUGCUGGUUCUGCUAUUUGGGGUUUGAGGGCUAAUUAUAAUGUAUAUAAUUUUCAUUUAGUUUGAGGACAAACUACAAUUGUAUAAUGGAUUGUAUUAUGUUUGUUAUUUCAAUUAUUCAGGGCUUAGAGUUGAAAUUCCAAUGUAUAUCAAUUUUUAUUGGAUGAGAAGCCUAUUGGGUUCUAUUAUUAUUAUUAUAUAUAUUAUAUAUUUUUUUAAUUAGUUGUACUCAAAUUAUGGGUUUUGGAUCUUGUGGUUGUAUUCCAUAUUACAAUAUGUAUGUAAUAUUUGUAGGCGACAAGUCUGUUUAUUUAUCUUCUAAUAUUGUUAUUAAGUUUUGUUAUAUUUUUUACAGGUUAUAUAUAAUAUUUAUAAGUUUGAGCCUAUUGGAUUGUAUUUUUAUUAUUUUCGUCAUGAUAUUACCCACAUUAUUGUAUUUGAAUAAUGGAUUUCAGAUCAUUUGGUUGUAUUUCAUAUUACAAUAUAUAUGUAAUAUUCAUAGGUAUCAAGCCUAUUGAAUUGUUUUAAUAUUGUUACGAAGUUUUGUUAUAUUUUUUACGGGUUGUAUGUAAUAGUUAUAAAGUUCGAGCUUAUUGCGUUGUAAUAUUAUUAUUAUCAUGAUGAUACGACACAUAAUAUUGUAUUUGAAUUAUGAGUUUCGGAUCAUUUGGUUGUAUUCCAUAUUACAAUAUGUAUGUAAUAUUCAUAGGUAUCAAGCCUAUUGAAUUGUUUUAAUAUUGUUACGAAGUUUUGUUAUAUUUUUUACGGGUUGUAUGUAAUAGUUAUAAAUUUCGAGCCUAUUUCGUUGUAAUAUUAUUAUUAUCACGAUGAUAUUACCCACAUUAUUGUAUUAGAAUAAUAGAUUUUGGAUCAUUUGGUUGUAUUCCAUAUUACAAUAUAUAUGUAAUAUUCAUAGGUAUCAAGCCUAUUGAAUUGUUUUAAUAUUGUUACGAAAUUUUGUUAUAUUUUUUACGGGUUGUAUGUAAUAGUUAUAAGUUUCGAGCCUAUUUCGUUUGUAAUAUUAUUAUUAUCACGAUGAUAUGACACACAAUAUUGUUUUUGAAUUAUGGGUUUCAAAUAUUUUAAUUUCAUUCAACAAUAUAAUGAAUGUAACGAAGCCCAUUGACUUGUAUUUUUUUUCUUAGAUAAUUAAACUAUAUUCUUAUUAUUAUGAAGUUUAUUAACUUUUAUGGGUUUUAUAAGUUGCUAAAUUCAGUUGUUAUUAUUAAUUUUUUUUUAAAGUUGUGGGCCGAGCACAAAUUAUAAUUUGAUUUUAACCAAGUUUAAGCAUAUGUUAUUUGUAAUAAUAUUUUUGCGAUGAAUUUCAUUAUUGUUAUUAUUUGUGAUGUAUUAUUGAGGGUUGAACCGAAUUGUAAUGCAUAUUAUAUUUUUUUGAUGUGUUUGUAAAAUUUAGUUGCAUCUAAAAUUGUAUUGACCGACAACAAAGUUUAAUCUUCAAAUUUUAACAAGCAAAUAAGAUUAAAUUAAAACAUUAUAAUAUUAAAAAUGUUAUACUAAGACAUUAUCAAUUUACUUCUUCAAUUUGAUGGUAAAUAAGACUUAAAUUGAAAUAAAAAAUAAACUGAAUUUUGUUGGUGAACAUAAUUUCCUAGUUUGUAAAUAAGAAUGUUAAUUAUUUGACAUACAAGUAUAUUUAUACAGUAUAUUGUGCUAUAUCCAGUAAUUAUAAUGUAUAAUAUUUGUGUAAAACAAUUAUCGUGUAUUGGUUUGCUAGAAAAUAGUAAUAUAAUGAAUUGUAUUCUCAAUUACAAUGAGUAUUUUUUUAGUGAGAUGAAAGUUGACGUAUUGUAAUAUUUUUAUCAGAAAGUUUCACCUACAAUUCGAUCAGAAAAAAUGAGUGCAACUACUUGCAGUUCAGUGAAAAAAAGAAAAAUUCCAAUGCAAAAACGUGAAACAAAAGAGCAGAGAGCUGUUACAUUCAGUAAAAGACGAACGGGUCUGUUUAACAAAGCAGCAGAAUUGUGUGUUCUCUGCAAUACUCAGGUUGUAAUUUUGGUUUCUGCUCCUUUGGCCAAAGAAAAGUUUUAUACUUUUGCACACCCUAACAUCAAUCUUCUUCUCGACACAUUCCUCAAUAACCAUGUCUCUCAUCCCAUCAACAAUUACAAUAAUCUUUCUACUUCUUCGUCUCAUCAAACUAUGGAGCAAUUAACUCCUAACAAUAAUGUGUCCAAGACCAAGAAGAGAAAGAGAGAGUCUGAAGAGUUUUGGUGGGAAAAUGAAGACUUUGAUGUUUACCAAACACCUGAAGAGGUGACAUCAAUCAUCGAGAAGUUAGAAAAGGUGAGAGAAAAUGUGGCGCUCAAACUUCAAAAAUUAUCAACUUCUAAUAAUCAAGAUAUUAACAGUAGCGAUCAUCAAAACUAUCAUCUUGGGUGCUUUGCUGAAAAUAUGAUGAACAUUAAUAAUGAGUACAGUAAAGAGAGUGGUGAUCAAAGUCAGUUUAUGACAUCCGUUGUGUUUCAGAAUUUAUCAACUUCUACUUAUCAUGGUAGUUGCAUUGAUCAAAAUAUAGUAGACAUUGAUGGAUUCAAGAACAAUGUUGAUUUUAUGCAAAUGUUGCCUCUAAAAUCUACUAUGCUUACACACAAUACCAACAAUGGCAGCCAAGAUAUUCAGAAUUAUCACAAUGAUAUGGGUACUACAUUUGAAGCCCCAUUAUUCUUCUCUAAUGGCGUCGAAAAUUAUCAAGAUAUUAGUAGUGGUGAUCAUCAAAACUAUCAUCUUGGGUGCUUUGCUGAAAAUAUAAUGAAUAUUAAUCAUGAGUACAAUAAUGAAAGUGGCGAUCAGAGUCAGUUUAUGCCAUCUGUUGUGUUUCAAAAUUUAUCAACUUCUACUUAUCAAGAUGGUUGCAUUGAUCAAAAUAUGGUGAACGUUGAUGGAAACAAGAACAAUGUUGCUUUUAUGCAGAUGUUGCCUCAAAACUCUACUAUGUUUACACACAAUACCAACAAUGACACCCAAGAUAUUGAGAACUAUCACUAUGAUAUGGGUACUACAUUUGAACCCCCAUUAUUCUUCUCUAAUGGUGUCGAAAAUUAUCAAGAUAUUAGUAAUGAUCAUCAAAACUAUCAUCUUGGUUGCUUUGUUGAAAAUAUAAUGAAUAUUGAUCAUGAGUACAAUGAUGAGAGUGGUGAUCAAAGUCAGUUUAUGUCAUCUGUUGUGUUUCAAAAUUUAUCAACUUCUGCUUAUCAUGGUGGUUCCAUUGAUCAAAAUAUAGUGAACAUUGAUGGAAACAAGAACAAUGUUGAUUUUAUGCAAAUGUUGCCUCUAAAAUCUACUAUGCUUACACACAAUACCAACAAUGGCAGUCAAGAUAUUGAGAAUUAUCACAAUGAUAUGGGUACUACAUUUGAAGCCCCAUUAUUCUUCUCUAAUGGCAUCGAGAGAUGUGCUACGUCUUUUUGUAUUGGUGAUCAAAAUUUUAGUUGGAUGAAUGAUAAGAUCACUACUUCAUAUAGUCAAAAUGAACAAUUUUCACCGUCCAUCUCCUCCAAUGACUUGGAUCACCAUAUUAAUACUUCUUUUGAAUGGGAGUUCAGAGAUGAGAAUCCUUCAUUUCUUCAAGAUAAUGCUACUGGAUUAGUUCCACUAUUUUCUCAUAGUGAUAAAAGCAUAGACAAGCAGAAUUUGUCUGAAUCAAAUUUUAAAGAUAAUAAUUUUUCAGUUACUGGAGCAACAACUGACAAUGACUUGUUUCUUGGUGACGACUAUGUUAAUUCUUCAACAAUGGAGGAUAACACUGAAUUUUUUUCAUUGUUGGAAUAUUUCUUUUCUAGUUGAUUGUAAGCUUUCUCUGUAUUUCCUUUGCAGUGUAAUAAAAUGUUCUUGUGGUCUCUCAACUUUUUCUUUGGCAUAUUGAUCAUAAUAUAAUUCUUAUCAUCCACUAAAUGAUGAAGUAAAUAUGUACGGAAUCAAUAUUUAUAGUCAUCAACUAUGAGAUUAAAAAAAAAAUUCAUACAAAUAUUUUAUACUAAACCAAUCAACUGCAAACUUAAAAAUCUCCCAAAUUAACUUGAAUUAAGAGUUUAUUUUAUUUUACAUUUUAAAUUAAAUAGAUCUUAUUAUUUGGGUUCUUAAUUAGUUUUAAGUUUUUAAUUAAUUAUUUUUUAAAAAAUAUUUUUUUAAAAAAUUUAUUUAUUAUAAUAUAAUUUCAUAAUAUAAGGAUAUCGGCAUUUUAUUUUUUUAAAAAAAGAAUAUCAGCAUUUAUAAUCACUAUCAUUUUUUAUUUCUUUUUUCAGUUGAGGAAACAAAAAAUAAAUAUUAGAAUAUAUUCAAAAAUUAUUAUUAAAUAUGUCAAACUAUAAAAAUAUUUUAUAAAUUAAAGUUUGAGUGAAAACUAAACCAAGCAAACGUAAGUAAACACUUUACUAAAUAUAUGAAUUAAGCCAAUCGAACAAGCGAUUAAUAUAUUUAAGCUUACCGGUACAGAUUUUAUCCCAUAAUCAUUUUAGGGAUGAUUUAAAUUAAAAAUAUAUUUUUAUAAUAAUAUAUAUUUAAUUAAUAUAUUAUUUAAAUUAGAUCGAUUUAGUUAGAAAUUUAAUUAGACAGAAAAUUUAAUUAAAUUUUAAUACUAUUCAAGUUCGAUGAGAUUUUAGAUUUUAAAAUUAUAAGAUUAUAUCAAAAUCGAAGUUUGUAAAAUUCGCUCAAGACUCCAUCUAUUGUUACCCUAAACCGUGUUCAUACCAUAUUAGAAUUGAACUUUGUGAUUCAGCCGGUUGUUUGAACUUAUGAUGGUAUAGAAUCACACGGGUCCACCACCUUUAACUCAUUGAAGAAAAGCUAGACACAACCUUCAAAAAAUUUGAAAAAAGUUUGGAUGUAUCUUCUUUUAAAAGAAAUCAUUUUACCCUGUAAGUCUUUGUUUCUUUCUAAAAAUCUAUCUGGGUGUUACCAUGAAAAUGAUGAAGGCUGUGAAGAAGCUCAAAUUCUGGUCAAGAUCCAGGAAGAAAAGGAAGUACCUUGAGGAGCCCUUCUACCCUGUUCUGGCGCACCAUUGUUGUUGCCGUUCAUGCUCCUCCGUCCAGCCCUCAGCUCCACCAUGGCCUGGUGAAUUCUCAUAUCAGAUUCAAGCUGAUGAAACAGAAAGUGUAGAAGAAAGUAAAUUAAUCCAUUCAAAAUUACCUCAAGUAGACGAAGUUAUAAUCACGAGUAGGUCAAUGUAUCAGCAAUAUAUGGUUGAAAAUCCUGUGUAUGACAUGCCUGAGCCUGUUGUUGAGAUAGUUAGAAGAGAAAGAUCAGGCGGGUACGUUCUUCAGCUGGGUUCUUGUCUGAUCCGCUGCUUCUGCCCAUGUUUCAGUACAGAAGAAGCUCAGUAAAAAAGUGAUUUUGUUAAAUUGUUAGCUUACUUCUUCCUCUAUUUUCUUCUUUUUUUUUUCUUUAAAUUCAGCAAUAGUAAAAAUAUGUUUCUGGAUAUUUUUUUUUGUAAAAAUGCAUUGUCAGUCUUAACUCUGUUGUAUCUAAUAUUUUAACGUAAUAUAAACUUUUAAUAAAAAUUCAUACCUAACUUUGGUUGCAUUCAUACCAAGCGCGGGCAAGAAAGAGCCCCAGCCAACUCCGCUCUGGACGCUAUGAGCUUCUCUAUGCAAUUCUUUAUCUCUUUCUGACUAUUUGUUCUCUGUGUAUUGCUCCUGCAAAAAAGCCAAGCAAAUAAGAGAAUCAAUGAACAAAAAAGUAGUCCUCAAAGAUGCUCAGAUUUAAAAAUACGUAAAGCCGGUGAUUCCGAGUUAUAACGACCUUGCUUCCAGGGGAAAACCAUUCUAGCAUUCCAAUAAUUUUAUCUAAUUCUUCCGAGUCAUCCAAAUCAUCAGGAACAACAAGACUCCUAUAAAGCAUAUAAUUCUUUUGAUCUUACUAAUCCCCUCAUCAACAUUGUUCAACUUGUAUUUUUAAAUCUUGAUAAAUGACCUUGGUGUGAUGUUAUCUGGUGCACAAACAUGUAGUAACUGAUUAAUAGACAAAUUAUCCGCUUAGUGAAUCAACUUUGAUGUAGCCAAUCAAACUAUAUGCCGGAAAUUUUCUGAUUUUAGACUCUGCCAUCACUUUCCUCCAAUUAGCAGCAUCUCCCCACCUUUCCCCAACAGCACUUCUAUUUGACAACACCACAUAUCGGCCACAAUGUUUUGGCUGUAAUUCAAGGACCUUCUUUCCUACCAUUUUCCAACUGAACGUCCCCAUGAAUCUUACAAGCACCAAAAAGAGCUCCUAAAACAGAGGCAUCAGGCAUGAAGGGCAUGCUAAGUGCAAACCCAACUGCAUCUCUCAGAAUUCCUGCUCUGUCCAAUAGAUCAACAACACAACCAUAAUGCUCCAUUAUUGGUACAACCCAAUAUCGACUUGACAUUGACGGAAACAACUUCAAACCCAAGUCAACAAGUUUAGCUCGAGCACAAGCAGUAAGAAUAGCAACAAAGGUAACCUCAUUGGGGCAAAAUCCUUGCGCUUUCAUCUUCUCAAACAUAUAUAGAGCUUGCUUCCCCCUACCAUUGCAGUCCAAGUGAAAACCUCUUUAACCUCUAUCCGAUUGAAUACUCUUAUUGCAGUCUCCAAACAACCUGCCUUUCCAUACAAAUCUACCAACGCAGCCCCCACGACAGCGCUCAAACAUAUCCAUGUAUCUGCUUCCCUUGAUAAAGACCAGUUCCAUCUAAAUUAGCACAAGAAGACAGCACGGUAACAAAUGCAGCCUCAUUAGGCUUCACGGAACCGCGGACCACAUCCUCGUGAACCACCAUCUUUGCCAAAAGUGGCAAUGCAUCAACAAAGCGUCCAUUCAUCACGAACCCAUUAAUGACACUCGUCCAUGAAACCACGUCCUUCUCAUUAAACACCACAAUACAUGGAUGGGGAAUUUCCACAAACAUCUUACGUGCAUUGAGUAUGUCACACACUUCGGCAACUCCACCCUCACGCAUGAAGUUUGCACAUAUGGGUCGCAUAAAACACCCCAUUUGAGAGCCUGAGCAUGGAGAAUUGAGCCAUAUGAGGGAAGCAAGAAGCAGCUUUGAUUAGAGAUGGGAAAGUGAGAUGGUUUGGUGAAAGUCCAUGCGCAAUCAUGCGGGUGAAAAGUAGUAAAGAAGUACGAGAGAGUCCCGUAGAGAGAUAAGAUCAAAUGAGAGUGUUGUAAAUGAGAACGGUGUUCCAUGAAGAAGUGUGGUUGAGGAGAGAGCCGCGGGUGAUAAGAAGGGAAUGAAUCUGUUUGAUCUGGUUGGGACAGUGGAUGAAAUGCUGGAGAAGAAGCUCUGGACUUGAAUAUCCAGAAAACCCACCUGUUACCAGAAGCUUUAAAAUCAAAACUUGAUUACAUGCCUGUUCUUGUCCACCAUCUGCCCAGUUCAUAUAUUAUUAGCAUUCUUGUUCAUAUUUGUUAAUUACAAGAUUUUUGGAUCAAAUUAACAUUUUCUCAUGCUUCUUUCAAUUCAUAUAUAUAUAUAUAUAAAUUUAAUUCCAACCAAAAAUGAAGAAAAUUCUUUUAGUUUACAACUAUUUUUCAAUCUUUCUAAGUUUUCUAACGAAAAACAAAUCCUACGUUGAGAAUUUUUAUUUAGUUUUUAACACUGUGUAUAUUCAUUAAAAUCGAGUCUAAAAGAAUUAUGAACUCAACUUGAAAAAAAACUUUAACAUUAACAAGAUCGAAAACAAAAUUAAUAUUUUAAGUUAUAAAACUUACACAUUAAAAACUAGAAAAUAACCAACCCUAACACCCAAAGAAAAGAAAACGAUAAAAGUAUCCAUGAAGGUUCGGCUCAUUGACAAUUACAAAUUACCAUCUUCAAUUCAUUGACAAUAAUCAUAAAUUACCCUUUUCAAAAAUUCUUAUAUUUCAUUUCGGUCCUUCUAUCUUCGUUUCUCCGCUAAUUUUCUGUAAGGAUUAAUUUGCAAUCGUUAUGCUUGCAACAUCAUUAUGAAAAUUUUUUGCCAUUGUGCAAUAUUUUUACAGUCAAUCGCUUCAGACUUUUCGAGUGUUUGACCUGAUCAUCUUUUAUGCAGAAAAAAUAUAGUAAUAACUCACUUAUUUGGAGUGAUGUUUGGAGAUUGCAAGCUUUAAAUAACAUUUUUAAUAAGAAUGAGAUUGUCAAAUCUUACUAAUUGAACAAAAGCUCAAAGUUCUACAUAAGGAAAAAGAGUUGACAGCCAAACUAUUACCAUAACUUUCGUAAAAUAUAUUUUUUGUGUAAAACUUUAAACUCUACAAAACUAAGGCAAAGUACAAGUUAAUCUAUUGUUGGUUCUGGGUGCUAAUAUAUGAAUGUUCCUGUAGAAGUCUAUCGGAAGUAAGUCGUGCAAGAGGUCAGAAGAAAGGGAAAACACGAUAUGGGAUUUUGUCUGUAGCAAGAUUCUGGUGGACAGAUUGGAGCUGCUAGCGGUAGCUGUUGUUUUCCUCACACGACUUUAUGCAUCAUGUUUAGGUGCAGAUGAUAUUUAGUAAAAAAUAUUUCAUCAGGAAAAAGUGAGACUUGCCUUAUAAAGAAUUUGGGUAUUGCAGUUUUACUGUUUUGUUUUGGCAAGGGAGUGCUUAGUGCUGGUUUAAGUUUUGAGUAAAGAUUAAAAAGUAGUCAGCUCCACCUUUUUUGCAUGAUAUUAAUCAAGGGCUAUAUGCUCUUCCAUCUCAAGUUAUUUUUCUUUUUUGUUCCUUUUAAUUUUUUCUAUGAAUGGGUUGGAUGAGAUGGUACGGUUGGCUUCUGUAUAUAAAUAAUAUAUACAUUUCAUCUCUUUUGAUUUCCAGUACAUGAAUAUUUGACUUGUGAGCAGCUUCUACUGAAAGAGGCUAUUGAAGCAGGUAGCUUUUUUGGUUUUACCUUAUUUCAAUUUAUUCUUCUAUUGAUCCGGAUACAUGUUUAAGUUGUUUUGUUUUUCUUUUCGAGAUUUUCUAUAAUUUUUUACGUGAUUACUCCUCACUGAGUAUCCUAUUAUGUCAUGGAUUGGAAUAUAAUAAGUGAUAAUUCUUCAUUACUGCUAUCAAUGGACAUUAAUUAGGUCAGUAGUAAGGAGAUAUAUAUACUAUUCUAUUUUUUUUAAUCCUGAGUUUGAUUUAUUAGGGGGAGUUUAGGAAUUAGAAUCCUAAAUACAUUAGGUCAAUGUAGAGGAGUGAGUAAGUUAGCAUUUUGAGAAAGAGAUAAUACAAAGUAUAAGAAAUUAGAAAAAACAGUAAAAUAUUUUUAAUUAAAUAUUAAUGCUAUUUAAUUUAUUAUUUUAAAUUUAAUUUUUAGGAAAAAUAAAUAAUAAUUUUUAAAUAUCUAUUUUGUUUUGGUUUAAUUUUAAAAAUAAUAUAUUUUUUUUCUAAAAAAUUCUGUAAUUGACCAAUCUCUUUUUUAAUUUAAAUUUGUAAGUUUAUGAUUAAUUUAUUAUUUUUAUGAUUUUUUUUUGUAUUUUUAAUUUGUUUGUUAUACAUUAUUAUUUUGCUUGCAAAUUAUAGUUAUAAUUAUAAUUAUAAUUAUAAUUAAAUUAAAUUAAAUUAAUUUAAUAGCCCAGUUUUUUCCAACCCAUAACCUACAAACGACAGCGUUUUGGAAGAGGUUAUUGGCGGCAAAAGGGGGGGUUUAAAGGGAAUUUAGAAAGGUUUAGGGGCAAAAUUGGAAAUACAGCUGUUUCCAACGGUCUUCUUCUCUCUAUAUAUAUUGCACCGACCACUCCAUUCUUCUCUCUCUACUCAGCUUUCAGACAGAUCACAUUCCUUCUUCCCUUUCCUCCCGAUUCUCUCUGUUCAUUGGAAACGUUUCGUUUCCUUCCGAUUUCUCUCAAAUUCAAUCGACUGCUUCGACUUUGCUUCUCCGCUCGCUUCUCUGGUAAGGAUCUCCACUGCCGCUUUCUUUUUUUUUUUUCCAUUAAAGAUUCAUAUUGCAAAUUUUCUUCUUUAAUUUUGUCAAACAACUCUUUAAUAUUUGUGGUUCUUUUAAUAUUUGUGAUUCUUUUACGAGAUAAAACAUAAAAUCAUGUACUCUGAGUCAGAUCUGGAAUCCACCGUAACACUCAUUUAGGGAAAAGUCACCAAAAUCUAAGAUCCGUGUAAUCCUUUUUCGGUAACAAACGACCAAUAAAAAAUAUUAAAAAAGAAACCCAGAAAAUCCUCUGUGAAAAUAAAAAAACGAAAAGAGAUCAAAACCCUAGAUCUUGAAAUAAGACUGAUUACUUCUCCCUGGUUUUUCUGUAAUUAGGUUGUGUGGAGUUUUGGAUUGGAGAAUCUUGAAAUGAAUCUGUAAAAUGCAAUCUUUGUAAUGUUAUUAAAGUUUGAGCUCACCAUUACAACGUAAUGGCCUCAAACCCCAUGGAGGAGUCCUAAUCAUAAUGUAUCUUUGUUUUUUAACUGGGUACAAAUUGCAAUGGUGGUGGUUCUGCUAUUUGGGGUUUGAGGACUAAUUAUAAUGUAUAUAAUUUUUAUUUAGUUUGAGGACAAACUACAAUUGUAUAAUGGAUUGUAUUAUUACAGGUUCUCUGCGUAUUAUUAUGUUUGUUAUUUCAAUUAUUCAGGAUUUAGAGUUAAAAUUCCAAUGUAUAUCAAUUUUUAUUGGAUGAGAAGCCUAUUAGGUUCUAUUAUUAUUAUUAUAUAUUUUUUCAAUUAGUUGUACUCAAAUUAUGGGUUUUGGAUCUUGUGGUUGUAUUCCAUAUUACAAUAUGUACGUAAUAUUUGUAGGCGUCAAGUCUGUUUAUUUAUCUUCUAAUAUUGUUAUUAAGUUUUGUUAUACUUUUUACAGGUUGUAUAUAAUAUUUAUAAGUUUUGAGCCUAUAGGAUUGUAUUUUUAUUAUUUUCGUCAUGAUAUUACCCACAUUAUUGUAUUUGAAUAAUGGAUUUCGGAUCAUUUGGUUGUAUUCCGUAUUACAAUAUAUAUGUAAUAUUCAUAGGUAUCAAGCCUAUUGAAUUGUUUUAAUAUUGUUAGGAAGUUUUGUUAUAUUUUUUACGGGUUGUAUGUAAUAGUUAUAAAGUUCGAGCCUAUUGCGUUGUAAUAUUAUUAUUAUCAUGAUGAUAUGACACACAAUAUUGAUUUUGAAUUAUGGGUUUCAAAUAUUUUAGUUUCAUUCAACAAUAUAAUGAAUGUAACGAAGCCCAUUGACUUGUAUUUUUUGUCUAUAUAAUUAAACUAUAUUCUUAUUAUUAUGAAGUUUAUUAACUUUUAUGGGUUUUAUAAGUUGCUAAACUCAGUUGUAUUAUUAUUAUUAUUAACGAGCACAAAUUAUAAUUUGAUUUUAACUAAGUUGAAGUGUAUGUUAUUUGUAUUGACAUGGAGCCGAAUGGGAUUGUAAUAAUAUUUUUGCGAUGAAUUUUAUUAUUGCUAUUAUUUAUGAUAUAUUAUGGAGAGUUGAACCGAAUUGUAAUGCAUAUUAUAUUUUUUUGAUGUGUUUGUAAAAUUUAAUUGCAUCUAAAAUUGUAUUGACCGACAACAAGGUUUAAUCUUCAAAUUUUAACAAGCAAAUAAGAUUAAAUUAAAAUAUUAUAAUAUUAAAAAUGUUAUACUAAGACAUUAUCAAUUUACUUCUUCAAUUUGAUGGUAAAUAAGACUUAAAUUGAAAUAAAAAAUAAACUGAAUUUUGUUGGCGAACUUAAUUUCUUAGUUUGUAAAUAAGAAUGUUAAUUAUUUGACAUACAAGUAUAUUUAUACAGUAUAUUGUGCUAUAUCCAGUAAUUAUAAUGUAUAAUAUUUGUGUAAAACAAUUAUAGUGUAUUGGUUUGCUAGAAAAUAGUAAUAUAAUGAAUUGUAUUCUAAAUUACAAUAAGUAUUUUUUUAGUGAGAUGAAAGUUGACGUAUUGUAAUAUUUUUAUCAGAAAGUUUCACCUACAAUUCGAUCAGAAAAAAUGAGUGCAACUACUUGCAGUUCAGUGAAAAAAAGAAAAAUUCCAACGCAAAAACGUGAAACAAAAAAGCAGAGAGUUGUUACAUUCAGUAAAAGAGGAACGGGUCUGUUUAACAAAGCAGCAGAAUUGUGUGUUCUCUGCAAUGCUCAGGUUGUAAUUUUGGUUUCUGCUCCUUUGGCCAAAGAAAAGUUUUAUACUUUUGCACACCCUAACAUCAAUCUUCUUCUCGACACAUUCCUCAAUAACCAUGUCUCUCAUCCCAUCAACAAUUACAAUAAUCUUUCUACUUCUUCGUCUCAUCAAAAUAUGGAGCAAUUAACUCCUAACAAUAAUGUGUCCAAGACCAAGAAGAGAAAGAGAGAGUCUGAAGAGUUUUGGGGGGAAAAUGAAGACUUUGAUGUUUACCAAACACCUGAAGAGGUGACAUCAAUCAUCGAGAAGUUAGAAAAUGUGAGAGAAAAUGUGGCGCUCAAACUUCAAAAAUUAUCAACUUCUAAUAAUCAAGAUAUUAACAGUAGCGAUCAUCAAAACUAUCAUCUUGGGUGCUUUGCUGAAGAUAUAAUGAACAUUAAUAAUGAGUACAGUAAAGAGAGUGGUGAUCAAAGUCAGUUUAUGACAUCCGUUGUGUUUCAGAAUUUAUCAACUUCUACUUAUCAUGGUAGUUGCAUUGAUCAAAAUAUAGUGGACAUUGAUGGAUUCAAGAACAAUGUUGAUUUUAUGCAAAUGUUGCCUCUAAAAUCUACUAUGCUUACACACAAUACCAACAAUGACAGCCAAGAUAUUGAGAAUUAUCACAAUGAUAUGGGUACUACAUUUGAAGCCCCAUUAUUCUUCUCUAAUGGCGUCGAAAAUUAUCAAGAUAUUGGUAGUGGUGAUCAUCAAAACUAUCAUCUUGGGUGCUUUGCUGAAAAUAUAAUGAAUAUUAGUCAUGAGUACAAUAAUGAAAGUGGCGAUCAGAGUCAGUUUAUGUCAUCUGUUGUGUUUCAAAAUUUAUCAACUUCUACUUAUCAAGAUGGUUGCAUUGAUCAAAAUAUGGUGAACGUUGAUGGAAACAAGAACAAUGUUGCUUUUAUGCAGAUGUUGCCUCUAAACUCUAUUAUGUUUACACACAAUACCAACAAUGGCACCCAAGAUAUUGAGAACUAUCACUGUGAUAUGGGUACUACAUUUGAACCCCCAUUAUUUUUCUCUAAUGGCAUCGAGAGAUGUGCUACGUCUUUUUGUAUUGGUGAUCAAAAUUUUAGUUGGAUGAAUGAUAAGAUCACUACUUCAUACAGUCAAAAUGAACAAUUUUCACCAUCCUUCUCCUCCGAUGACUUGGAUCACCAUAUCAAUACUUCUUUUGAGUGGGAAUUCAGAUAUGAGAAUCCUUCAUUUCUUCAAGAUAAUGCUACUGGAUUAGUUCCACUAUUUUCUCAUAGUGAUAAAGGCAUAGACAAGCAGAAUUUGUCUGAAUCAAAUUUUAAAGAUAAUAGUUUUUCAGUUACUGGAGCAACAACUGACAAUGACUUGCUUCUUGGUGACGACUAUGUUAAUUCUUCAACAAUGGAGGAUAACACUGAAUUUUUUUCAUUGUUGGAAUCUUUCUUUUCUAGUUGAUUGUAAGCUUUCUCUGUAUUUCCUUUGCAGUGUAAUAAAAUGUUCUUGUGAUCUCUCAAUUUUUUCUUUGGCAUAUUGAUCAUAGUUUAAUUCUUAUCAUCCCCUAAAUGAUGAAGUAAAUGUGUACGGAAUCAAUAUUUAUAGUCAUCAACUAUGAGAUUAAAAAAGAAAAAUUCAUACAAAUAUUUUAUACUCGACCAAUCAACCCCAAACUUAAAAAUCUCCCAAAUUAACUAGAAUUAAGAGUUAAUUUUAUUUUAUAUUUUAAAUUAAAUAGCUCUUACUUAUUAUUUGGGUUCUUAAUUAGUUUUAAAUUUUUAAUUAAUUAUUUUUUAAAAAAUAUUUAGAACAAAAUUUUAUUUAUUAUAAUAUAAUUUCAUAAUAUAAGGAUAUCGGCAUUUUAUUUUUCUAAAAAAAGAUAUCAACAUUUAUAAUUACUAUCAUUUUUUAUUUCUUUUUUCAGUUGAAAAAACAAAAAAUAAAUAUUAGAAUAUAUUCAAAAAUUUAUGUCAAACUAUAAAAAUAUUUUAUAAAUUAAAGUUUGGGUGAAAACUAAACCAAACAAACGUAAAUAAACACUUUACUAAAUAUAUGAAUUAAGCCAAUCGAACAAGCGAUUAAUAUAUUUAAACUUACCGGUAAAGAUUUUAUCCCAUAAUCAUUUUAGGGAUGAUUUAAAUUAAAAAUAUAGUUUUAUAGUAAUAUAUAUUUAAUUUAAAUAACAUAUUUAUAUAUAAUAUAUUAUUUAAAUUAUGUAGAUUUAAUCAGAAAUUUAAUUAGAUACAAAAUUUAAUUAAAUUUUAAUACUACUCAAGUUUAAUGAACUUUUAGAUUUUAAAAUUAUAAGAUUAUAUCGAAAUCGAAGUUUAUAAAAUUCGCUCAAGAUUCCAUCUAUUGUUACCCUAAACCGUGUUCAUACCAUAUUAGAAUUGAACUUUGUGAUUCAGCCGGUUGUUUGAACUUAUGAUGGUAUAGAAUCACACGGGUCCACCACCUUUAACUCAUUGAAGAAAAGCUAGACACAACGGUCAAAAAAUUUGAAAAAAGUUUGGAUGUAUCUUCUUUUAAAAGAAAUCAUUUUACCCUAUAAGUCUUUGUUUCUUUCUAAAAAUCUAUCUGGGUGUUACCAUGAAAAUGAUGAAGGCUGUGAAAAAGCUCAAAUUCUGGUCAAGAUCCAGGAAGAAAAGGAAGUACCUUGAGGAGCCCUACUACCCUGUUCUGGCGCACCAUUGCUGUUGCUGUUCAUGCUCCUCCGUCCAGCCCUCAGCUCCUCCAUUGCCACCAUGGCCUGAUGAAUUCUCAUAUCAGAUUCAAGCUGAUAAAACAGAAGGUGUAGAAGAAAGUAAAUUAAUCCAUUCAAAAUUACCUCAAGUAGACGAAGGUAUAAUCACAAGUAGGUCAAUGUAUCAGCAAUAUAUGGUUGAAAAUCAUGUGUAUGACAUGCCUGAGCCUGUUGUUGAGAUAGUUAGAAAAGAAAGAUCAGGCGGGUACGUUGUUCUUCAGCUGGGUUCUCGUCUGAUCCGCUGCUUCUGCCCAUGUUUCAGUAUAGAAGAAGCUAGGUAAAAAAGUGAUCUUCUUAAUUUGUUAGCAUACUUCUUCCUCCUAUUUUUUUUUUUUUAAAUUAAGCAAAGGUAAAAAUAUGUUCUGUACCUUUUUUUUGUGAAAAAGAAUUUUCAAUCUUAACUUUAUUGUACCUAAUAUUUUAAUGUAAUAUAAAGUUUUAAUAAAAAUUCAUACCUAACUUUGGUUGCAUUCACACCAAGCGCGGGCAAGAAAGAGCCUCAGCCAACUCCACUGUGGACGCUAUGAGCUUCUCUAUGCAAUUCUUUCUCUCUUUCUGACUAUUUGUUCUCUGUGUAUUUGCUCUUGCAAAAAAGCCAAGCAAAUAUGAGAAUCAAUGAACAAAAAAUUAGUCCUCAAAGAUGCUCAGAUUUAAAAAUACGUAAAGCUGGUGAUUCCUAAUUAUAAUGAUUUUGCUUCCAGGGGAAAACCAUUCUAGCAUUCCAAUUAUUUUAUCUAAAUGUCCCGAGUCAUCCACAUCAUCGGGAACAACAAGAACUCCUAUAAAGCAUAUAAUUCUUUUUUAUCUUACUAAUCCCCUCAUCAACAUUGUUGAACUUGUAUUUCUAAAUCUUGAUAAAUCCAAAAGAAGUUGUUCUUGUAAGUGAAGCAAACCGUGGAAAUUGUGCAGCAGUUGCUCUGACGUCUGCAAGAAAUCUUCUGUCUCUGAAUUUUUAAAUGUUCAUGUUAUAAACAGUCUUAGCAAAUAUCGUCUUCCCUGUCCCUGCAAUCCCACUUGCUAUGUCAACUCCAUUUGAUCCAUCUUGAGUUCAGGCUUGAUUUCUUCUCCAAGAUCAUCUCUUCCAACUAACUAUUGGGUGACAUCGAACAGUGCCUCAUGCCUGCCUAGAGAAAAAAAAAACGAAAGUUAUGAUUGUUUCCCAACUGCUGAAAUUUAGUAAAAAUCUCAACAAGCAGAGAACGUAGAGUUUUGAAAAUAACAGUUACACUAACCAAGUAAAUAUAAUUUAUUAUAUGCACAGUUAUCCAUGUAAAUUGAUAAUUUAAAUUUGAGAAGUGUGUUAUGGAGCACAUAUAAAAAUAAAAAUCCAUAAAACACAGGAAACUUAUAUAUUUCACAAUGCUUUCGACAAAAUUAUGGCCGUGUCUCUAAACCCUCUGCUCUAGAAUUAACACAAAGAAAAUGCAUGGUAAUAGUUUGUAGUUUAUUGAGAAGAAAGCUGAGAUCAAGCUUACAUAUGUCACAAAAAUCAUUCCUCCCAAGUCAGCAACCUCCCUCGCAGCACCUCAGCUGUUGUAUUUUGUUCUUUACAUCUUUUAGGUGCUCUUCAUGUGCGGCAAUUGUUUCAGAAAAACUCCCUCGCAGUAUACUUCCUAACAUGUGUUGGAUCUACUUCAUAGAACACUGGCAAGAUAUCUGUUCAGUGGUUCUCCUGUGUUACAUGAUCUUACCUAGUUCAUCAGGAAACCACAGAGAAGAGUCACAAUUUUAGGAGAAGAUAAUUAUUUAUAUUGAGACUCCAAUGGCUUUUUCAAGUUAUUUUAUUCAUAUCCUUUCCUCUUUCAACCCCAUCAUCAUAUUUAGAUGUACGAAUUCCUGCCCGCAGUAGGGCCCUAUAAAGGUGAUCCGUGAAGCUCCAGCACCUCGUAAACUUAAGAACAUAUACUAAGCAUAUCCAGAACAUGAGGAGGAAGCUCGCUGCUCUGCACUCGCUGCAUCCAUUGAUAACCAAAAAUUUCAGGAGUAUCGAUUGAAAGCAGAUGGGUGAUGAAUAGAUAAUAAAGCACCAAGGAUCGACAUAAAUUUGUUGGCUCAAGCAAAUCAAUUAUGAUAUUUUUUUGGAGGAAAUUUCCACUUUAACAAUCAUGAUAAGCCAGUGAGCUAAAUCACAUCUUACCAUUUGCCUUUAACAAAAUUUCCGUCUUCUUUAAUUACUCCAACAAUGCAUUUUAGCUUUUACAAGGUAUUAAUUAAUAACUACAUGUGAUAAAUACAGAGGACUUUUAGGUAUUCUUGAUUAGAUCCUAGAAUUGAUCGGAUCCUAGAGUUCUCUUCUAGGACCAAUUAUCAUUUAAGUACCAUAACUUCAUACUACAUUAAAAAUUAUCCAUAAGAUUUUGAGUUCCAUUCAAUUAGAUACUCUAAUCUUUAAUUAGUCUCCCAAUACAUCUAUCACCAUACAAAUACCUGAAGAAAAUCUCAUCCCUAACAGUCUAACCAUGUAAAUGCUUCCUUUUAUAAAUGCCACCUUAAUUUAAGUUAACAUAAUAAUUAGAAAGGGCUUUGCAAACCCUCCAGCUUCAUCCUCAUGCAUCAUCAUCUAUGAAAAAACCUAAUUGCCUUACUAAAAGCAAUUCACAAACUAAUUAAUAAUACUUAAUCCAUUAACACAUCCUUCCUAGGAAAACUUUCUGAAUAAAAAUAGCAAAUUCAUGUCUCAAGAAUCGAUUCCACAUAUAAAAUAAUUCUAAAAACGUUUUACGUGUUUUAUCUAUCACUCACAUAUAAAAUUUGCUUCAUAUUCACAUAAACAACUCAGUAGUCAACCAAAUCUAUCAAUUGUCACUUAUAGAAAUUAUGACCUAAAAAUCCCUUCUAGUAUCUGUAUUCCCAUAUACUAGGUUAAUCUUACAACUAGAGGAAAAAAGAUAAAUCACAUCAGAAUCCCGGAUGUAGAAACCUUACUCAAAUUCGGUCAAUAGGUAAAUGUCCUUUGUGUGAUGUUAUCUGGUGCACAAACAUGUAUGAACUGAUUAAUAGACAAAUUAUCCGCUUAGUGAAUCAACUUUGACCGAGCCAAUCAAACUACAUGCUGGAAUUUUUCGGAUUUUAGACUCUGCCAUCACUUUCCUCCAAUUAGCAGCAUCUCCCCACCUUUCCCCAACGGCACUUACAUCUGACAACACGAAAUAUCGGCCACAAUGUUUUGGCUGUAAUUCCCAACUGAGCUUCUUUCCUACUUCAUUUCCCAACUGAACGUCCCCAUGAAUCUUACAAGCACCAGAAAGAGCUCCCAAAACAGAGGCAUCAGGCAUGAAGGGCAUGCUAAGUGCAAACCCAACUGCAUCUCUCAGAAUUCCUGCUCUGCCCAAUAGAUCAACAACACAGCCAUAAUGCUCCAUUAUUGGUACAAUCCCAUAUCGACUUGACACUGACGGAAACAACUUCAAACCCAAGUCAACAGGUUUUGCUCGAGCACAAGAUGUAAGAAUAGCAACAAAGGUAACCUCAUUGGAGCAAAAUCCUUGCACUUUCAUCUUCUCAAACAUACAUAGAGCUUGCUUCGCCCUGCCAUGACAGGCAAGUGAAGAAAUCAUUGGAUUCCAAGUGAAAACCUCUUUAACCUCUAUCCGAUUGACUACUCUUUUUGCAGUCUCCAAACAACCUGCCUUUCCAGACAAAUCUACCAACGCAGCCCCCACGACAGCGCUCAAACUGAACCCAUUCUUAACAACAUAUCCAUGUAUCUGCUUCCCUUGAUAAAGACCAGUUCCAUCUAAAUUAGCACAAGAAGACAGCACAGUAACAAAUGUAGCCUCAUUAGGCUUCACGGAACCGCGGACCACAUCCUCGUGAUCCAUCAUCUUUGCAAAAAUCCGCAAUGCAUCAAGUCCAUUCAUCACGAACCCAUUAAUAACACUCGCCCAUGAAACCACAUCCUUCUCGGGCAUGCUCUGGAAAUACAGAAAAGCAGAACCCAUGUCUCCAUUCCUCCCAAAAGCGUCAAGUAAAGCAUUACACGCUACAAUACAUGGAUGAGGAAUUUCCACAAACAUCUCACGUGCAUUGCGUAUGUCACACACUUCGUCGUCACACAUUCACGGAUGAAGUUUGCACAAAUGGGUCGCAUAAAACACCCCAUUUGAGAGCAUGAGCAUGGAGAAUUGGACCAGAUGAGGGAGAGCAAGAAGCAGCUUUGAUUAGAGAUGGGAAAGUGAGAUGGUUUGGUGAAAGUCCCUGUGAAAUCAUGCGGGUGAAAAGUAGUAAAGAAGUACGAGAGAGUCCCGUAGAGAGAUAAGAUCAAAUGAGAGUGUUGUAAAUGAGAACGGUGUUCCAUGAAGAAGUGUGGUUGAGGAGAGAGCCGCGGGUGAUAAGAAGGGAAUGAAUCUGUUUGAUCUGGUUGGGACAGUGGAUGAAAUGCUGGAGAAGAAGCUCUGGACUUGAAUAUCCAGAAAACCCACCUGUUACCAGAAGCUUUAAAAUCAAAACUUGAUUACAUGCCUGUUCUUGUCCACCAUCUGCCCAGUUCAUAUAUUAUUAGCAUUCUUGUUCAUAUUUGUUAAUUACAAGAUUUUUGGAUCAAAUUAACAUUUUCUCAUGCUUCUUUCAAUUCAUAUAUAUAUAUAUAUAUAUAUAAAUUUAAUUCCAACCAAAAAUGAAGAAAAUUCUUUUAGUUUACUAUUUAUUUUGUGUGUUUUAAAAUAAUAAUAAUUAUUAAAUUUUAUUAAACUUAACGAGAAAAAUAUAUUUAUUUUAUUUAAUCUAUUCAAUCAUAUUAUUAAUAAAUUAAAAAAAGUUCGAUUACAACUAUUUUUCAAUCUUUCUAAUUUUUUUAAUGAAAAACAAAUCCUACUUAGAGAAUUUUUAUUAAGUUUUUAACACUUUGUAUAUUAAUUAAAAUCGAGUCUAAAAGAAUUAUGAACUCAACUUGAAAAAAAACUUUAACAUUCACAAGAUCGAGAACAAAAUUAAUAUUUUAAGUUAUAAAACUUACACAUUAAAAACUAGAAAAUAACCAACCCUAAUACCCAAAGAAAAGAAAGCGAUAAAAGUAUCCAUGAAGGUUCGGCUCAUUGAAAAUCACAAAUUACCAUCUUCAAUUCAUUGACAAUAAUCAUAAAUUACCCUCUUCGAAAAUUCUUAUAUUUCAUUUCGGUCCUUCUAUCUUCGUUUCUCCGCUAAUUUUUCAUAAUGAUUAAUUUGCAAUCGUUAUGCUUGCAACAUCAUUGUGAAAAUUGUCUACCACUGUGCAAUAUGCUUGCAGUCAAUUGCUUCAGACUUUUGGAGUAUUUGACUCGAUCAUCUUAUAUGCAUAAAUAAUAUAGUAAUACCCCACUCAUUUAGAGUGUUAUCUUGAGGUUGUAGGUUUUAGAGAGACUUUUUAAAAAGCAUGAGAUUGUCAAAUCUUACUAAUUGAACACUAGCUCAGAGUUCUACAACAAAGAAAAAAAAAAAAUUGACAGCCAAACUAUUACCAUAACCUUCGUAAAAUACAUUUUUGUGUAAAACUUUGAGCUUCACAAGACUAGGGCAAAGAACAAGUUCAUCUAUUGUUAGUUCCGGGCUAUAAUAUAUGAAUGUUCAUGCAUAAGCCUAUGGGAAGUAAGUCAUGCAAGAGGUCAGAAUAAAGGAAACACACGAUAUGGAGUUUUGUCUGUAGUAGGAUUUUGGUGGACAGAUUGGAACUGCUAGGAGUAGCUGCUGUAUUCCUCACACGACUUUAUGUAUCUUGUUUAGGUGGAGUAUGGUAUUUAGUGAAAAAUAUUUCAUCAGGAAAGAAUGAGACUUGCCUUAUAAAGACUUUGGGUAUUGCAGUUUUACUGUUUUGUUUCGGCAAUGGAGUGCUUAGUGCUGGUUCAAGUUUUGGGUAAAGACUGAAAACUAGUCAGCUCCACCUUCCUUGCAUGAUAUUAAUCAAGGGCUAUAUGCUCUUCCAUCUCAAGUUGUUUUUCUUUUUUGUUCCUUUUAUUUUUUCUACGAAUGAGCUGGAUGAAAUAGUACGGUUGGCUUCUAUAUAUAAAUAAUAUAUACCUUUAAUCUCUUUUGAUUUUCGGUACAUGAAUAUAUGACUUGUGAACAGCUUCUCCUGAAGGAAAUUAUUGAAGCAGGUAGUCUCUUUUAUUUUAUCUUAUUUCAACUUAUUCUUCUAUUGAUCCGAAUACAUAUUUAAGUUAUUUUGUUUUUCUUUUCGAGAUUUUCUAUAGUUUUUUAUGUGAUUAUUCCUUACUGAGUAUCCUAUUAUGGUAUAGAUUGGAAUAUAAUAAGUAAUAAUUUUUCAUUACUGCUAUCAAUGAACAUUAAUUAGAUAAGUUGUAAGGGAAUAUAUAUACUAUUCUAUUUUUUCUAUUCUGAGUUUGAUUUAUUAAGGGGAGUUUAGGAAUCAGAAUCUUAAAUUCAUUAGAUCAAUGUGGAAGAGUCAUUAAGUUAACAUUUUGAGACAAUAAAAUAUUUUUAUUAAAUAUUAGUGCAAUUUAAUUUGUUGUUUUAAAUUUAAUUUAUUAGUAUUAUUUGUGAUAUUGUUUCAAAAUUAUUUUUAAAAAAAUCAUGUCUUCAUAUAAUAUUUAACCUUCACCUUGAAAAAAUUAAAAUAAUGAUAUAUUUAAUUAACUAAUUUGAUAAUAUACAUUCAAUUUAAUAUUUAUUCGUAUAGUCGUAUAAUUUAAUAAAUUAUUAAAUAUAAAGAUAAAGAUAUAAGAUAUUUAUUAUUAAGUAUACUUUUAUAAUAGCUUUAGUUUCAAAGUUUGAUUUAAUAGUUAAAUUUAAUUUUUAGGAAAAAUAAAUAAUAAUUUUUAAGUAUAUAUUUUAUGAUUUUUUUGGUAUUUUUAAUUUGUUUGUUAUACAUUAUUAUUUUGCUUGCAAAUUAUAGUUAUAAUUAUAAUUAUAAUUAAAUUAAUUUAAUAGCCCAGUUUUUUCCAACCCAUAACCUACAAACGACAGCGUUUUGGAAGAGGUUAUUGGCGGGAAGGGGGAGGGUUUAAAGGGAAUUUAGAAAGGUUUAGGGGCAAAAUUGGAAAUACAGCUGUUCCCAACGGUCUUCUUCUCUCUAUAUAUAUUGCACCGACCACUCCAUUCUUCUCUACUCAGCUUUCAGACAGAUCACAUUCCUUCUUCCCUUUCCUCCCGAUUCUCUCUGUUCAUUGGAAGCGUUUCGUUUCCUUCCGAUUUCUCUCAAAUUCAAUCGACUGCUUCGACUUUGCUUCUCCGCUCGCUUCUCUGGUAAGGAUCUCCACUGCCGCUUUUUUUUUUUUUUUUCCAUUAAAGAUUCAUAUUGCAAAUUUUCUUCUUUAAUUUUGUCAAACAACUCUUUAAUAUUUGUGGUUCUUUUAAUAUUUGUGAUUCUUUUACGAGAUAAAACAUAAAAUCAUGUACUCUGAGUCAGAUCUGGAAUCCACCGUAACACUCAUUUAGGGAAAAGUCACCAAAAUCUAAGAUCCGUGUAAUCCUUUUUCGGUAACAAACGACCAAUAAAAAAUAUUAAAAAAGAAACCCAGAAAAUCCUCUGUGAAAAUAAAAAAACGAAAAGAGAUCAAAACCCUAGAUCUUGAAAUAAGACUGAUUACUUCUCCCUGGUUUUUCUGUAAUUAGGUUGUGUGGAGUUUUGGAUUGGAGAAUCUUGAAAUGAAUCUGUAAAAUGCAAUCUUUGUAAUGUUAUUAAGGUUUGAGCUCACCAUUACAACGUAAUGGCCUCAAACCCCAUGGAGGAGUCCUAAUCAUAAUGUAUCUUUGUUUUUUAACUGGGUACAAAUUGCAAUGGUGGUGGUUCUGCUAUUUGGGGUUUGAGGACUAAUUAUAAUGUAUAUAAUUUUCAUUUAGUUUGAGGACAAACUACAAUUGUAUAAUGGAUUGUAUUAUUACGGGUUCUCUGCAUAUUAUUAUGUUUGUUAUUUCAAUUAUUCGGGGCUUAUAGUGAAAUCCAAUGUAUAUUAUUUUUAUUGGAUGAGAAGCCUAUUGGGUUCUAUUAUUAUUAUAUAUAUUAUAUAUUAGUUGUACUCAAAUUAUGGGUUUUGGAUCUUGUGGUUGUAUUCCAUAUUACAAUCUGUAUGUAAUAUUUGUAGGCGUCAAGUCUGUUUAUUUAUCUUCUAAUAUUGUUAUUAAGUUUUGUUAUACUUUUUACAGGUUGUAUAUAAUAUUUAUAAGUUUUGAGCCUAUAGGAUUGUAUUUUUAUUAUUUUCGUCAUGAUAUUACCCACAUUAUUGUAUUUGAAUAAUGGAUUUCGGAUCAUUUGGUUGUAUUCCGUAUUACAAUAUAUAUGUAAUAUUCAUAGGUAUCAAGCCUAUUGAAUUGUUUUAAUAUUGUUACGAAAUUUUGUUAUAUUUUUUACUGGUUGUAUGUAAUAGUUAUAAAGUUCGAGUUUAUUGCGUUGUAAUAUUAUUAUUAUCAUGAUGAUACGACACACAAUAUUGUAUUUGAAUUAUGAGUUUCGGAUCAUUUGGUUGUAUUCCAUAUUACAAUAUGUAUGUAAUAUUCAUAGACAUCAAGCCUAUUGAAUUGUUUUAAUAUUGUUAUGAAAUUUUGUUAUAUUUUUUACGGAUCGUAUAUAAUAUUUAUAAGCUUUGAGCCUAUUGGGUUGUAUUAUUAUUAUUAUCAUCCUAAUAUUACAUACAUUAGUGUAUUUGAAUUAUAGAUUUCGGAUCAUUUGGUUGUAUUCAAUAUUACAAUAUAUAUGUAAUAUUCAUAGGUAUCAAGCCUAUUGAAUUAUUUUAAUAUUGUUACGAAGUUUUGUUAUAUUUUUUACGGAUUGUAUGUAAUAGUUAUAAGUUUCGAGCCUAUUUCGUUGUAAUAUUAUUAUUAUCACGAUGAUAUGACACAAUAUUGUAUUUGAAUUAUGAGUUUCGGAUCAUUUGGUUGUAUUCCAUAUUACAAUAUGUAUGUAAUAUUCAUAGGUAUAAAGCCUAUUGAAUUGUUUUAAUAUUGUUACGAAAUUUUGUUAUAUUUUUUACGGGUUGUAUGUAAUAGUUAUAAGUUUCGAGCCUAUUUCGUUGUAAUAUUAUUAUUAUUAUUAUGAUAUGACACACAAUAUUGUUUUUGAAUUAUGGGUUUCAAAUUUUUUAGUUUCAUUCAACAAUAUAAUGAAUGUAACGAAGCUCAUUGACUUGUAUUUUUUUUCUUAGAUAAUUAAACUAUAUUCUUAUUAUUACGAAGUUUAUUAACUUUUAUGGGUUUUAUAAGUUGCUAAACUCAAUUGUAUUAUUGUUAUUAUUAAUUUUUUUUUUAAAGUUGUGGGCCGAACUCAAAUUAUAAUUUGAUUUUAACCAAGUUUUAAGUGUAUGUUAUUUGUAUUGACAUGGAGCCAAAUGGGAUUGUAAUAAUAUUUUUGCGAUGAAUUUCAUUAUUGCUAUUAUUUAUGAUAUCUUAUGGAGGGUUGAACCGAAUUGUAAUGCAUAUUAUAUUUUUUUGAUGUGUUUGUAAAAUUUAAUUGCAUCUAAAAUUGUAUUGACCGACAACAAAGUUUAAUCUUCAAAUUUUAACAAGCAAAUAAGAUUAAAUUAAAACAUUAUAAUAUUAAAAAUGUUAUACUAAGACAUUAUCAAUUUACUUCUUCAAUUUGAUGGUAAAUAAGACUUAAAUUGAAAUAAAAAAUAAACUGAAUCUUGUUGGUGAACAUAAUUUCUUAGUUUGUAAAUAAGAAUGUUAAUUAUUUGACAUACAAGUAUAUUUAUACAGUAUAUUGUGCUAUAUCCGGUAAUUAUAAUGUAUAAUAUUUGUGUAAAACAAUUAUCGUGUAUUGGUUUGCUAGAAAAUAGUAAUAUAAUGAAUUGUAUUCUCAAUUUCAAUGAGUAUUUUUUUAGUGAGAUGAAAGUUGACGUAUUGUAAUAUUUUUAUCAGAAAGUUUCACCUACAAUUCGAUCAGAAAAAAUGAGUGCAACUACUUGCAGUUCAGUGAAAAAAAGAAAAAUUCCAAUGCAAAAACGUGAAACAAAAGAGCAGAGAGCUGUUACAUUCAGUAAAAGACGAACGGGUCUGUUUAACAAAGCAGCAGAAUUGUGUGUUCUCUGCAAUGCUCAGGUUGUAAUUUUGGUUUCUGCUCCUUUGGCCAAAGAAAAGUUUUAUACUUUUGCACACCCUAACAUCAAUCUUCUUCUCGACACAUUCCUCAAUAACCAUGUCUCUCAUCCCAUCAACAAUUACAAUAAUCUUUCUACUUCUUCCUCUUAUCAAAAUAUGGAGCAAUUAACUCCUAACAAUAAUGUGUCCAAGACCAAGAAGAGAAAGAGAGAGUCGGAAGAGUUUUGGUGGGAAAAUGAAGACUUUGAUGUUUACCAAACACCUGAAGAGGUGACAUCAAUCAUCGAGAAGUUAGAAAAGGUGAGAGAAAAUGUGGCGCUCAAACUUCAAAAAUUAUCAACUUCUAAUAAUCAAGAUGUUAGUAGUAGUCAUCAUCAAAACUAUCAUCUUCGGUGCUUUGCUGAAGAUAUGAUGAACAUUAAUAAUGAGUACAGUAAAGAGAGUGGUGAUCAAAGUCAGUUUAUGACAUCCGUUGUGUUUCAGAAUUUAUCAACUUCUACUUAUCAUGGUAGUUGCAUUGAUCAAAAUAUAGUGGACAUUGAUGGAUUCAAGAACAAUGUUGAUUUUAUGCAAAUGUUGCCUCUAAAAUCUACUAUGCUUACACACAAUACCAACAAUGGCAGCCAAGAUAUUCAGAAUUAUCACAAUGAUAUGGGUACUACAUUUGAAGCCCCAUUAUUCUUCCCUAAUGGCGUCGAAAAUUAUCAAGAUAUUAGUAGUGGUGAUCAUCAAAACUAUCAUCUUGGGUGCUUUGCUGAAAAUAUAAUGAAUAUUAAUCAUGAGUACAAUAAUGAAAGUGGCGAUCAGAGUCAGUUUAUGCCAUCUGUUGUGUUUCAAAAUUUAUCAACUUCUACUUAUCAAGAUGGUUGCAUUGAUCAAAAUAUGGUGAACGUUGAUGGAAACAAGAACAAUGUUGCUUUUAUGCAGAUGUUGCCUCUAAACUCUACUAUGUUUACAGACAAUACCAACAAUGGCACCCAAGAUAUUGAGAACUAUCACUAUGAUAUGGGUACUACAUUUGAACCCCCAUUAUUUUUCUCUAAUGGCAUCGAGAGAUGUGCUACGUCUCUUUGUAUUGGUGAUCAAAAUUUUAGUUGGAUGAAUGAUAAGAUCACUACUUCAUACAGUCAAAAUGAACAAUUUUCACCGUCCUUCUCCUCCAAUGACUUGGAUCACCAUAUCAAUACUUCUUUUGAAUGGGAGUUCAGAGAUGAGAAUCCUUCAUUUCUUCAAGAUAAUGCUACUGGAUUAGUUCCACUAUUUUCUCAUAGUGAUAAAGGCAUAGACAAGCAGAAUUUGUCUGAAUCAAAUUUUAAAGAUAAUAGUUUUUCAGUUACUGGAGGAACAACUUACAAUGACUUGUUUCUUGGUGACGACUAUGUUAAUUCUUCAACAAUGGAGGAUAACACUGAAUUUUUUUCAUUGUUGGAAUCUUUCUUUUCUAGUUGAUUGUAAGCUUUCUCUGUAUUUCCUUUGCAGUGUAAUAAAAUGUUCUUGUGAUCUCUCAAUUUUUUCUUUGGCAUAUUGAUCAUAGUUUAAUUCUUAUCAUCCCCUAAAUGAUGAAGUAAAUGUGUACGGAAUCAAUAUUUAUAGUCAUCAACUAUGAGAUUAAAAAAGAAAAAUUCAUACAAAUAUUUUAUACUCGACCAAUCAACCCCAAACUUAAAAAUCUCCCAAAUUAACUAGAAUUAAGAGUUAAUUUUAUUUUAUAUUUUAAAUUAAAUAGCUCUUAUUAUUUGGGUUCUUAAUUAGUUUUAAGUAUUUAAUUAAUUAUUUUUAAAAAAUAUUUAGAACAAAAUUUUAUUUAUUAUAAUAUAAAGAUAUCAGUAUUUUAUUUUAAAAAAAAGAUAUCAACAUUUAUAAUCACUAUCAUUUUUAAUUUCUUUCUUCAGUUGAAGAAAUAAAAAAAAAAUAAAAUAUAUUUAAAAUUUAUUAUUAAAUAUAUCAAAUCAUAAAAAUAUUUUAUAGAUUAAUGUUCGGGUAAAAAUUAAACCUAACGGACAUAAAUCAAUAUUUUACUAAAUAUAUGAAUUAAGCCAAACGAACAAGAAAUUUAUUUAUUUAAGCUUACCGGUACAGAUUUUAUCGCAUAAUCAUUCUAGGGAUGACUUAAAUUAAAAAUAUAUUUUUAUAAUAAUAUAUAUUUAAUUUAAAUAAUAUAUUUAUAUAUAAUAGAAAUUGAUUUAGUCAGAAAUCUAAUUGGAUAAAAAAUUUAAUUAAAUUUUAAAACCUACUCGGAUUCGAUAAAGUUUUAUAUUUUAAAAUUAUAAAACUAUACCGAAAUCAAAGUUUGUAAAAUUCACUCAAGACUCCAUCUAUUGUUACCCUAAACCAUGUUCAAACCAUAUGAGAAUUGAACUUUGUGAUUCAGCCAGUUGUUUUACUUAUGAUGGUAUAGAGCCAACGGUCCAAAAAGUUGAAAAAAAUUUGGAUGUAUCUUCUUCUAAAAAAAAUCACUUUACCCUACAAGUCCUUGUUUCUUUCUGAAAAUCUAUCUAGGUUUUACCAUGAAAAUGAUGAAGGCUGUGAAGAAGCUCAAAAUCUGGUCAAGAUCCAAGAAGAAAAGGAAGUACCUUGAGGAGCCCCACUACCCUGUUCCGAUGCACCAGUGUUGUUGCUGUUCAUGCUCCUCCGUCCAGUCCUCAGCUCCUCCAUUGCCGCCAUGGCCUGAUCAAUUCUCAUAUCAGAUUCAAGCUGAUGAAACAGAAGGUGUAGAAGAAAGUAAAUUCAUCCAUUCAAAAUUCCCUCAAGUAGACGAAGGUAUAAUCACGAGUAGGUCAAUGUAUCAGCAAUAUAUGGUUCAAAAUCCUGUGUAUGACAUGCCUGAGCCUGUUGUUGAGAUAGUUAGAAGAGAAAGAUCAGGUGGGUACGUUGUUAAUUCGUUAGCAUACAUCUUCUUCCUAUUUUUUUCUAAAAAAAUUCAGCAAUGGUAAAAAUAUGUUUUUGUACCUUUUUUUUUGUAAAAAAGAAUUUUCAGUCUUAAUUUUAUUGUACCUAAUAUUUUAAUGUAAUAUAAAGUUUUAAUAAAAAUUCAUACCUAACUUUGGUUACAUUCACACCAAACGCGGGCAAGAAAGAGCCCCAGCAAACUCCACUCUGUACGCUAUGAGCUUCUCUAUGCAAUUCUUUAUCUCUUUCUGACUAUUUGUUCUCUGUGUAUUGCUCUUGCAAAAAAGCCAAGCAAAUAUGAGAAUCAAUGAACAAAAAAUUAGUCCUCAAAGAUGCUCAGAUUUAAAAAUACGUAAAGCUGGUGAUUCCUAAUUAUAAUGAUUUUGCUUCCAGGGGAAAACCAUUCUAGCAUUCCAAUUAUUUUAUCUAAAUGUCCCGAGUCAUCCACGUCAUCGGGAACAACAAGAACUCCUAUAAAGCAUAUAAUUCUUUUUUAUCUUACUAAUCCCCUCAUCAACAUUGUUGAACUUGUAUUUCUAAAUCUUGAUAAAUCCAAAAGAAGUUGUUCUUGUAAGUGAAGCAAACCGUGGAAACUGUGCUGCAGUUGCUCUGACAUCUGCAAGAAAUCUUCUGUCCCUGAAUUUUUCAAAGUUGAUGUUAUAAACAGUCUUAGCAAAUAUCAUCUUCCCUGUCCCUCCAAUCCCACUUGCUAUGUCAACUCCAUUUGAUCCAUCUUGAGUUCAGGCUUGAUUUCUUCUCCAAGAUCAUCUCUUCCAACUAACUAUUGGGCGAAAUUGAACAGUGCCUCAUGCCUGCCUAGAAAAAAAAACGAAAGUUAUGAUUGCUUCCCAACUGCUGAAAUUUAGUAAAAAUCUCAACAAGCGGAGAACGUGGAGUUUUCCAAAUAACAGUUACAAACUAACCAAUUAAAUAUAAUUUAUUAUAUGCACAUUUAUCCAUGUAAAUUGAUCAUUUAAAUUUGAGAAGUAUGUUAUGGAGCACAUAUAAAAAUAAAAAUCCGUAAAACAGAGGAAACUUAUAUAUUUCACAAUGCUUUCGACAAAAUUAUGGCCGUGUCUCUAAACCCUCUGCUCUAGAAUUAACACAAAGAAAAUGCGUGGUAAUAGUUUGUAGUUUAUUGAGAAGAAAGCUGAGAUCAAGCUUACAUAUGUCACAAAAAUCAUUUCUCCCAAGUCAGCAACCUCCCUCGCAGCACCUCAGCUGUUGUAUUUUGUUCUUUACAUCUUUUAGGUGCUCUUCAUGUGCGGCAAAUGUUUCAGAAAAACUCCCUCGCAGUAUACUUCCUAACAUGUGUUGGAUCUACUUCAUAGAACACUGGCAAGUUAUCUGUUCAGUGGUUCUCCUGUGUUACAUGAUCUUACCUAGUUCAUCAGGAAACCACAGAGAAGAGGCACAAUUUUAGGAGAAGAUAAUUAUUUAUAUUGAGACUCCAAUGGCUUUUUCAAGUUAUUUUAUUCAUAUCCUUUCCUCUUUCAACCCCAUCAUCAUCUUUAGAUGUAUGAAUUCCUGCCCGCAGUAGGGCCCUAUAAAGGUGAUCCGUGAAGCUCCAGCACCUCAUAAACUUAAGAACAUAUACUAAGCAUAUCCAGAACCUGAGGAGGAAGCUCGCUGCUCUGCACUCGCUGCAUCCAUUGAUAACCAAAAAUUUCAGGAGUAUCGAUUGAAAGCAGAUCGGUGAUGAAUAGAUAAUAAAGCACCAAGGAUCGACAUAAAUUUGUUGGCUCAAGCAAAUCAAUUAUGAUAUUUUUUUGGAGGAAAUUUCCACUUUAACAAUCAUGAUAAGCUAGUGAGCUAAAUCACAUCUUACCAUUUGCCUUUAACAAAAUUUCCGUCUUCUUUAAUUACUCCAACAAUGCAUCUUAGCUUUUACAAGGUAUUAAUUAAUAACUACAUGUGAUAAAUACAGAGGACUUUUAGGUAUUCUUGAUUAGACCCUAGAAUUGAUCGGAUCCUAGAAUUCUCUUCUAGGACCAAAUAUCAUUUAAGUACCAUAACUUCAAACUACAUUAAAAAUUAUCCAUAAGAUUUUGAGUUACAUUCAAUAAGAUACUCUAAUCUUUAAUUAGUCUCCCAAUACAUCUAUCACCAUACAAAUACCUGAAGAAAAUCUCAUCCUUGACAAUCUAGCCAUGUAAAUGCUUCCUUUUAUAAAUGCCACCUUAAUUUAAGUUAGCAUAAUAAUUAGAAUGGGCUUUGCAAAACCUCCAGCCCCAUCCUCGUGCAUCAUCAUCUAUGAAAAAACCUAAUUGCCUUACUAAAAGCAAUUCACAAACUAAUUAAUAAUACUUAAUCUAUUAAUACAUCCUUUCUAGGAAAGCUUUCUGAAUAAAAAGAGCAAAUCCAUGUCUCAAGAAUCGAUUCCACAUAUAAAAUAAUUCUAAAAACGUUUUAUGUGUAUUAUCUAUCACUCACAUAUAAAAUUUGCUUCAUAUUCACAUAAACAACUCAGUAGUCAACCAAAUCUAUCAAUUGUCACUUAUAAAAAUUAUGACCUAAAAAUCCCUUCUAGUAUCUGUAUUCCCAUGUACUAGGUUAAUCUUAUAACUAGAGCAAAAAAGAUAAAUCACAUCAGAAUCCCGGAUGUAGAAACCUUACUCAAAUUUGGUCAAUAGGUAAAUGACAUUUGUGUGAGUGUUAUCUCUUGUGCACUAACAUGUAGUAACUGAUUAAGAAACAAAUUAUCCGCUUAGUGAAUCAACUUUGAUGGAGCCAAUCAAACUACAUGCUGGAAUUUUUCGGAUUUUAGACUCUGCCAUCGCUUUCCUCCAAUUAGCAGCAUCUCCCCACCUUUCCCCAACAGCACUUAUAUUUGACAACACCACAUAUCGGCCACAAUGUUUUGGCUGUAAUUCAAGGAGCUUCUUUCCUACUUCAUUUCCCAACUGAACGUCCCCAUGAAUCUUACAAGCACCAGAAAGAGCUCCCAAAACAGAGGCAUCAGGCAGCAAGGGCAUGCAAAGUACAAACUCAACUGCAUCUCUCAGAAGUCCUGCUCGGCCCAAGAGAUCAACAGCACAGCCAUAAUGCUCCAUUAUUGGUACAAACCCAUAUCGACUUGACACUUACAGAAACAACUUCAAACCCAAGUCAACAAGUUUUGCUCGAGCACAAGAUGUAAGAAUAGCAACAAAGGUAACCUCAUUGGAGCAAAAUCCUUGCACUUUCAUCUUCUCAAACAUACAUAGAGCUUGCUUCGCCCUGCCAUGACAGGCAAGUGAAGAAAUCAUUGCAUUCCAAGUGAAAACCUCUUUAACCUCUAUCCGAUUGAAUACUCUUUUUGCAGUCUCCAAACAACCUGCCUUUCCAUACAAAUCUACCAACGCAGCCCCCACGACAGCGCUCAAACUGAACCCAUUCUUAACAACAUAUCCAUGUAUCUGCUUCCUUUGAUAAAGACCAGUUCCAUCUAAAUUAGCACAAGAAGACAGCACAGUAACAAAUGCAGCCUCAUUAGACUUUACGGAACCGCGGACCACAUCCUCGUGAACCAUAAUCUUUGCAAAAAGUGGCAAUGCAUCAACAAAGCGUCCAUUCAUCACGAACCCAUUAAUAACACUCGUCCAUGAAACCACGUCCUUCCCGGGCAUGCUCUGGAAAUACAGAAAAGCAGAACCCAUGUCUCCAUUCCUCCCAAAAGCGUCAAGUAAAGCAUUACACGCUACAAUACAUGGAUGAGGAAUUUCCACAAACAUCUUACGUGCAGUGCGUAUGUCACACACUUCGGCGUCCACACUCACGGAUGAAGUUUGCACAAAUGGGUCGCAUAAAACACCCCAUUUGAGAGCAUGAGCAUGGAGAAUUGGGCCAGAUGAGGGAGAGCAAGAAGCAGCUUUGAUUAGAGACGGGAAAGUGAGAUGGUUUGGUGAAAGUCCGUGUGCAAUCAUGCGGGUGAAAAGUAGUAAAGAAGUACAAGAGAGUCCCGUAGAGAGAUAAGAUCAAAUGAGAGUGUUGUAAAUGAGAACGGUGUUCCAUGAAGAAGUGUGGUUGAGGAGAGAGCCGCGGGUGAUAAGAAGGGAAUGAAUCUGUUUGAUCUGGUUGGGACAGUGGAUGAAAUGCUGGAGAAGAAGCUCGGGACUUGAAAAUCCAGAAAACCCACCUGUUACCAGAAGCUUUAAAAUCAAAACUUGAUUAGAUGCCCGUUCUUGUCCACCAUCUGCCCAGUUCAUAUAUUAUUAUUUUUGGAUCAAAUUAACAUUUUUUUUUUCUCAUGCUUCUUUCAAUUCAUAUAUGUAUAUAUAUAUAUAUAUAAAUUUAAUUCCAACAAAAAAUGAAGAAAAUUCUUUUAUUUUACUAUUUAUUUUCUGUGUUUUAAAAUAAUAAUAAUUAUUAAAUUUUAUUAAACUUAUCGAGAAAGAUUGAUUGAUUUUAUUUAAUCUAUACAAUCAUAUUAUUAAUAAAUUAAAAAAAGUUCGAUUACAACUGUUUUUUAAUCUUUCUAAGUUUUCUAACGAAAAAUAAAUUCUACGCAGAGAAAAUCUUUUCUCGACAUAGGUUAAAUUUUUAUUCAAUUUUUAACACUGUGUAUAUUUAUUAAAAUCGAGUCUAAAAUAAUUAUGAACUCAACUUGAAAAAAAUGCUUUGACAUUAAUAAAAUGGAGAACAAAAUCAAUAUUUUAAACUAUAAAAUUUACAUAUUAAAAACUAGAAAAUAACCAACCCUAUCACCUAAAGAAAAGAAAGUGACAAUCACAAAUUACCAUAUUCAAUUCAUUUAUAAUAAUCAUAAAUUACCCUCUUCGAAAAUUCUUAUAUUUCACUUCUGUUCUUCUAUCUUCAUUUCUCCACUAAUUUUCCGUAAAGAUUAAUUUGCAAUCGUUAUGCUUGCAACAUCAUUAUGAAAAUUUUCUGCCAUUGUGCAAUAUUCUUGCAGUCAAUCGCUUCAGACUAUUCUAGUGCUUGAUCCGAUCAUCUUUUAUGCAGAAAUAAUAUAAUAAUACCCCACUCAUUUGGACUGUUGUUUGGAGAUUAUAAGCUUUAGAUAGCAUUUUUAUUAAGUGUUUUAAUUCAAUAAUUAAAACACUAAUUGAACAAAAACUCAAAGUUCUACAUAAGAAAAAAGAUUGACAGUCAAACUAUUACCAUAACAUUUGUAAGACACAUUUUUUGUGUAAAACUUUGAACCUUACAGGACUAAGGCAAAGUACAAGUUAAUCUAUUGUUGGUUCUGGGUGCUAAUAUAUGAAUGUUCCUGUAUAAGCCUAUGGGGAGUAAGUCGUGCAAGAGGUCAAAAGAAAGGGAACAUACGAUAUGGGAUUUUGUCUGUAACAGGAUUCUAGUGGACAUAUUGGAGCUGCUAGCGGUAGCUGCUGUUUUCCUCACAUGGUUUUAUGGAUCCUGUUUAUGUGGAGUAUGAUAUUUAGUGAAAAAUAUUUUAUCAAGAAAGAGUGAGACUUACCUUAUAAAGACUUUGGGUAUUACAGUUUUAUUGUUUUGUUUCGAUAAGAGAGUGCUUAGUGCUGGUUCAAGUUUUUGGUAAAGACUGAAAACUAGUCAGCUCCACAUUCCUUGCAUGAUAUUAAUCAAGGUCGAUAUGCUUUUCAUUCUCAAGUUGUUUUUCUUUUUUGUUCAUUUUAAUUUUUUUUACGAAUGUGUUAGAUAAGAUGGUAUGGUUAGCUUCUGUAUAUAAGGAAUAUAUACCUUUCAUCUGUUUUGAUUUUCACUACAUGAAUGUUUGAUUUGUGAGAAGCUUCUCCUGAAAGAGACUAUUGAAACAGUUAGCCUCUUUGGUUUUACCUUAUUUCAGCUUAUUCUUCUAUUGAUCUGAAUACAUGUUUAACCUGUUUUGUUAUGUUUUAUUUUUCUUUUCGAGAUUUUUCAUAAUUUUUUAUGUGAUUGUUCCUCUCUGAGUAAUCUAUUUUAUUAAAUAUUAGUGCUAUUUAAUUUAUUAUUUUAAAUUUAAUUUUUAGGAAAAAUAAAUAAUAAUUUUUAAAUAUAUAUUUUGUUUUGGUUUAAUUUUAAAAAUAAUAUUUUUUUUCUAGAAAAUUCUGUAAUUGAACAUCUCUUUUUUAAUUUAAAUUUGUAAUUUUAUGAUUAAUUUAUUAUUUUUAUGAUUUUUUUUUAUAUUUUUAAUUUGUUUUGUUAUACAUUAUUAUUUUGCUUGCAAAUUAUAGUUAUAAUUAUAAUUAAAUUAAUUUAACAGCCCCAACUCAUAACCUGCAAACGACAGCGUUUUGGAAGAGGUUAUUGGCGGGAAGGGGGGAGUGUUUUAAGGGAAUUUAGAAAGGUUUAGGGGCAAAAUUGGAAAUACAGCUGUUCCAACGGUCUUCUUCUCUCUAUAUAUAUAGCACCGACCACUCCCUCUCUCUACUCAGCUUUCAGACAGAUCACAUUCCUUCUUCCCUUUCCUCCCGAUUCUCUCUGUUCAUUGGAAACGUUUCGUUUCCUUCCGAUUUCUCUCAAAUUCAAUCGACUGCUUCGACUUUGCUUCUCCGCUCGCUUCUCUGGUAAGGAUCUCCACUGCCGCUUUCUUUUUUUUUUUUCCAUUAAAGAUUCAUAUUGCAAAUCUUCUUCUUUAAUUUUUUCAAAGAACUCUUUAAUGUUUGUGGUUCUCUUAAUAUUCGUGAUUCUUUUACGAGAUAAAACAUAAAAUCAUGUCCUCUGAGUCAGAUCUGGAAUCCACCGUAACACUCAUUUAGGGAAAAGUCACCAAAAUCUAAGAUCCGUGUAAUCCUUUUUCGGUAACAAACGACCAAUAAAAAAUAUUAAAAAAGAAACCCAGAAAAUCCUCUGUGAAAAUAAAAAAACGAAAAGAGAUCAAAACCCUAGAUCUUGAAAUAAGACUGAUUACUUCUCCCUGGCUUUUCUGUAAUUAGGUUGUGUGGAGUUUUGCAUUUGAGAAUCUUGAAAUGAAUCUGUAAAAUGCAAUCUUUAUAAUGUUAUUAAGGUUUGAGCUCACCAUUACAACGUAAUGGCCUCAAACCCCAUGGAGGAGUCCUAAUCAUAAUGUAUCUUUGUUUUUUAACUGGGUACAAAUUGCAAUGGUGGUGGUUCUGCUAUUUGGGGUUUGAGGACUAAUUAUAAUGUAUAUAAUUUUCAUUUAGUUUGAGGACAAACUACAAUUGUAUAAUGGAUUGUAUUAUUACGGGUUCUCUGCGUUAUUAUGUUUGUUAUUUCAAUUAUUCGGGGCUUAUAGUUGAAAUUCCAAUGUAUAUUAUUUUUAUUGGAUGAGAAGCAUAUUGGGUUCUAUUAUUAUUAUAUAUAUUAUAUAUUUUUUCAAUUAAUUGUACUCAAAUUAUGGGUUUUGGAUCUUGUGGUUGUAUUCCAUAUUACAAUAUAUAUGUAAUAUUUGUAGGUGUCAAGUCUGUUUAUAGUUGAAAUUCCAAUGUAUAUUAUUUUUAUUGGAUGAGAAGCCUAUUGGGUUCUAUUAUUAUUAUAUAUAUUAUAUAUUUUUUCAAUUAGUUGUACUCAAAUUAUGGGUUUUGGAUCUUGUGGUUGUAUUCCAUAUUACAAUAUGUAUGUAAUAUUUGUAGGCGUCAAGUCUGUUUAUUUAUCUUAUAAUAUUGUUAUUAAGUUUUGUAAUAUUUUUUACAGGUUGUAUAUAAUAUUUAUAAGUUUUGAGCCUAUUGGAUUGUAUUUUUAUUAUUUUCGUCAUGAUAUUACCCACAUUAUUGUAUUUGGAUAAUGGAUUUCGGAUCAUUUGGUUGUAUUUCAUAUUAUAAUAUAUAUGUAAUAUUCAUAGGUAUCAAGCCUAUUGAAUUGUUUUAAUAUUGUUACGAAGUUUUGUUAUAUUUUUUAUAGGUUGUAUGUAAUAUUUAUAAGCUUUGAGCCUAUUGGAUUGUAUUUUUAUUAUUUUCGUCAUGAUAUUACCCACAUUAUUGUAUUUGAAUAAUGGAUUUCGGAUCAUUUGGUUGUAUUCCAUAUUACAAUAUAUAUGUAAUAUUCGUAGGUAUCAAGCCUAUUGAAUUGUUUUAAUAUUGUUACGAAGUUUUGUUAUAUUUUUUACGGGUUGUAUGUAAUAGUUAUAAAUUUCGAGCCUAUUUCGUUGUAAUAUUAUUAUUAUCACGAUGAUAUUACCCACAUUAUUGUAUUAGAAUAAUAGAUUUUGGAUCAUUUGGUUGUAUUCCAUAUUACAAUAUAUAUGUAAUAUUCAUAGGUAUCAAGCCUAUUGAAUUGUUUUAAUAUUGUUACGAAAUUUUGUUAUAUUUUUUACGGGUUGUAUGUAAUAGUUAUAAGUUUCGAGCCUAUUUCGUUUGUAAUAUUAUUAUUAUCACGAUGAUAUGACACACAAUAUUGUUUUUGAAUUAUG